This is an RNA transcript of Arabidopsis thaliana (thale cress), 798 nucleotides long. RefSeq lists it as uncharacterized. The record is from RefSeq. Lineage: Eukaryota; Viridiplantae; Streptophyta; Magnoliopsida; Brassicales; Brassicaceae. The transcript has 2 exons.
CUAGCCUAACUUUUUGUUUACAAAUGUGCAAAGAAGUUUUUUUUUUUUCUUCGCUUGUAGACUGUACUCUUAUUCUGAAGACUAGAUUUUGAAGAUUCUAUGGUGAUUUCAGUUUUGGAAAUCUUUUGGUGAAUGAAGGUUGUUAGAAUUUUAAAAAUUGCAUAAUUUUAGCCUUUAAUUUUUCGUUUCCUAGUGCUCUCUGAUACCGGAUUUGUAUAACUGGUUAGAGCUUUUGUGUCCUCUGAUCCUGUAUUUCUAAUAUGUAUUACUAAUAUGAUACUUGUGAACAAACUCAUGGCAAUUUACAGAUUUGACGGAAGUAAACUAUGUAGUGACUUCGAAACAAUUUGUAUAAUGUCGUUAUGCAAUACUUUCUACUUUCUAGACUAGCAAGUUUCAUAAACUGAGUGACGUUUAUCAAGUGUCAUAUUGAAUCAGAUAAUAAAUAUUUGAUAAGUUUGGUUCACGAAGAAGGGAAAGAUCGACAUGGCGUCAUACUUGGUGCGUCUUGACACUGAAGAGGUUAGUUACAGAUUUAUCAAUGCAUUUCUUCCUCAUGAGAAAUGCAAUGAUUUAGAUUUGUGACGACCAAAAAAAAUAUAUUCGCUUGGGCAUUGGUGUGAACGGAAUCCAACAGAAAAGGCUCUGAUUGGUGGAAUUGGUGGUCUCUCAACAAAACUAAAACCAAAAUUAUUUGCAUCUUUAUCCACUUCUUCACGGUUCACAUCUCUCGUCUUUAUCUGCUUAUUUUAUCUUGUUUCUUUUUCCUCGUUUUAAAACAAGUUUAGCAUGUUAUCA